This 403-nucleotide ribosomal RNA is filed under the name Rhodococcoides corynebacterioides. RNAcentral's name for it is "bacterial SSU rRNA". It matches the Rfam family "Bacterial small subunit ribosomal RNA", at positions 28 to 435 of the family's 1533-position model. Lineage: Bacteria; Bacillati; Actinomycetota; Actinomycetes; Mycobacteriales; Nocardiaceae. The record is from RNAcentral.
GACGAACGCUGGCGGCGUGCUUAACACAUGCAAGUCGAACGGUAAGGCCCUUCGGGGUACACGAGUGGCGAACGGGUGAGUAACACGUGGGUGAUCUGCCCUGCACUUCGGGAUAAGCCCGGGAAACUGGGUCUAAUACCGGAUAGGACUGCGCGGUGCAUGCCGUGUGGUGGAAAGAUUUAUCGGUGCAGGAUGGGCCCGCGGCCUAUCAGCUUGUUGGUGGGGUAAUGGCCUACCAAGGCGACGACGGGUAGCCGGCCUGAGAGGGCGACCGGCCACACUGGGACUGAGACACGGCCCAGACUCCUACGGGAGGCAGCAGUGGGGAAUAUUGCACAAUGGGCGCAAGCCUGAUGCAGCGACGCCGCGUGAGGGAUGACGGCCUUCGGGUUGUAAACCUCUU